This 496-nucleotide ribosomal RNA is filed under the name uncultured bacterium. Its description in RNAcentral is "partial 16S ribosomal RNA". It matches the Rfam family "Bacterial small subunit ribosomal RNA", at positions 29 to 507 of the family's 1533-position model. The record is from RNAcentral.
AUGAACGCUGGCGGCGUGCCUAAUACAUGCAAGUCGAGCGAACAGAUGAGGAGCUUGCUCCUCUGACGUUAGCGGCGGACGGGUGAGUAACAUGUGGAUAACCUACCUAUAAGACUGGGAUAACUUCGGGAAACCGGAGCUAAUACCGGAUAAUAUAUUGAACCGCAUGGUUCAAUAGUGAAAGACGGUUUUGCUGUCACUUAUAGAUGGAUCCGCGCCGCAUUAGCUAGUUGGUAAGGUAACGGCUUACCAAGGCAACGAUGCGUAGCCGACCUGAGAGGGUGAUCGGCCACACUGGAACUGAGACACGGUCCAGACUCCUACGGGAGGCAGCAGUAGGGAAUCUUCCGCAAUGGGCGAAAGCCUGACGGAGCAACGCCGCGUGAGUGAUGAAGGUCUUCGGAUCGUAAAACUCUGUUAUUAGGGAAGAACAAAUGUGUAAGUAACUAUGCACGUCUUGACGGUACCUAAUCAGAAAGCCACGGCUAACUACGUG